This 422-nucleotide ribosomal RNA is filed under the name uncultured bacterium. Its description in RNAcentral is "partial 16S ribosomal RNA". It matches the Rfam family "Bacterial small subunit ribosomal RNA", at positions 360 to 773 of the family's 1533-position model. The record is from RNAcentral.
AAUCUUCCGCAAUGGACGAAAGUCUGACGGAGCGACGCCGCGUGAGUGAUGAAGUUCUUCGGUUUGUAAAACUCUGUUGUUAGGGAAGAACAAGUACUGGUCUAGUAUACCGGUAGCUUGACGGUACUUAACUAGAAAGCACCUGCUAACUACGUUCCAGCAGCCGCGGUAAUACGUAGGGGGCAAGCGUUGUCCGGAAUUAUUAGGCGUAAAGGGCUCGUAGGCGGUCUUCUAAGUCUGAUGUGAAAUCUCGUAGCUUAACUACGAACGGUCAUUGGAAACUGGGAGACUUGAGUACAGAAGAGGAGAGUGGAAUUCCACGUGUAGCGGUGAAAUGCGUAGAGAUGUGGAGGAACACCAGUGGCGAAGGCGACUCUCUGGUCUGUAACUGACGCUGAGGAGCGAAAGCUUGGGUAGCGAAC